UACGUAGGGUGCAAGCGUUAAUCGGAAUUACUGGGCGUAAAGCGUGCGCAGGCGGUUUUGUAAGACAGAGGUGAAAUCCCCGGGCUCAACCUGGGAACUGCCUUUGUGACUGCAAGGCUAGAGUACGGCAGAGGGGGAUGGAAUUCCGCGUGUAGCAGUGAAAUGCGUAGAUAUGCGGAGGAACACCGAUGGCGAAGGCAAUCCCCUGGGCCUGUACUGACGCUCAUGCACGAAAGCGUGGGGAGCAAACAGGAUUAGAUACCCUGGUAGUCCACGCCCUAAACGAUGUCAACUGGUUGUUGGGUCUUAACUGACUCAGUAACGAAGCUAACGCGUGAAGUUGACCGCCUGGGGAGUACGGCCGCAAGGUUGAA
Molecule: ribosomal RNA, 374 nt
Filed under: uncultured bacterium
Lineage: Bacteria
Description: bacterial SSU rRNA
Rfam family: Bacterial small subunit ribosomal RNA
Source: RNAcentral